GGCCUAACACAUGCAAGUCGAGCGGCAGCGGGGGGAAGCUUGCUUCCCCGCCGGCGAGCGGCGGACGGGUGAGUAAUGUCUGGGGAUCUGCCCGAUGGAGGGGGAUAACCACUGGAAACGGUGGCUAAUACCGCAUAACCUCUGUGGAGUAAAGUGGGGGACCUUCGGGCCUCACGCCAUCGGAUGAACCCAGAUGGGAUUAGCUAGUAGGUGGGGUAAUGGCUCACCUAGGCGACGAUCCCUAGCUGGUCUGAGAGGAUGACCAGCCACACUGGGACUGAGACACGGCCCAGACUCCUACGGGAGGCAGCAGUGGGGAAUAUUGCACAAUGGGCGCAAGCCUGAUGCAGCCAUGCCGCGUGUAUGAAGAAGGCCUUCGGGUUGUAAAGUACUUUCAGCGGGGAGGAAGGCAACAGCGUAAAUAGCGUUGUUGAUUGACGUUACCCGCAGAAGAAGCACCGGCUAAG
Molecule: ribosomal RNA, 467 nt
Filed under: Xenorhabdus bovienii
Lineage: Bacteria; Pseudomonadati; Pseudomonadota; Gammaproteobacteria; Enterobacterales; Morganellaceae
Description: bacterial SSU rRNA
Rfam family: Bacterial small subunit ribosomal RNA
Source: RNAcentral